RNAcentral lists this unclassified non-coding RNA (417 nucleotides) under uncultured Cortinarius. RNAcentral describes it as "sequence contains ITS2". The stretch from base 1 to 154 matches the Rfam family "5.8S ribosomal RNA". The record is from RNAcentral. Lineage: Eukaryota; Fungi; Basidiomycota; Agaricomycetes; Agaricales; Cortinariaceae.
AACUUUCGACAACGGAUCACUUGGCUCUCGCAUCGAUGAAGAACGCAGCGAAAUGCGUUAAGUAAUGUGAAUUGUAGAAUUCAGUGAAUCAUCGAAUCUUUGAACGCACCUUGCGCUCCUUGGUAUUCCGAGGAGCAUGCCUGUUUGAGUGUCAUUAAAUUCUCAACCUUUCCAUUAAUUUGGUUAGGCUUGGAUGUGGGGGUUGCGGGCUUCAUUAACGAGGUCGGCUCUCCUUAAAUGUAUUAGCGGAACUUUUGUGGACCGUCUAUUGGUGUGAUAAUUAUCUACGCCGUGGAUGUGAAGCAGCUUUAUGAAGUUCAGCUUCUAACCGUCCCUCGACUUGGACAAUUCUUGACAAUUUGACCUCAAAUCAGGUAGGACUACCCGCUGAACUUAAGCAUAUCAAAAGCGGAGGCU